RNAcentral lists this ribosomal RNA (497 nucleotides) under uncultured bacterium. RNAcentral describes it as "partial 16S ribosomal RNA". It matches the Rfam family "Bacterial small subunit ribosomal RNA", at positions 28 to 507 of the family's 1533-position model. The record is from RNAcentral.
GAUGAACGCUGGCGGCGUGCCUAAUACAUGCAAGUCGAGCGAACAGACGAGGAGCUUGCUCCUCUGACGUUAGCGGCGGACGGGUGAGUAACACGUGGAUAACCUACCUAUAAGACUGGGAUAACUUCGGGAAACCGGAGCUAAUACCGGAUAAUAUAUUGAACCGCAUGGUUCAAUAGUGAAAGACGGCUUUGCUGUCACUUAUAGAUGGAUCCGCGCCGCAUUAGCUAGUUGGUAAGGUAACGGCUUACCAAGGCAACGAUGCGUAGCCGACCUGAGAGGGUGAUCGGCCACACUGGAACUGAGACACGGUCCAGACUCCUACGGGAGGCAGCAGUAGGGAAUCUUCCGCAAUGGGCGAAAGCCUGACGGAGCAACGCCGCGUGGGUGAUGAAGGUCUUCGGAUCGUAAAACUCUGUUAUUAGGGAAGAACAAAUGUGUAAGUAACUAUGCACGUCUUGACGGUACCUAAUCAGAAAGCCACGGCUAACUACGUG